Molecule: long non-coding RNA, 581 nt
Filed under: Malus domestica (apple)
Lineage: Eukaryota; Viridiplantae; Streptophyta; Magnoliopsida; Rosales; Rosaceae
Description: long non-coding RNA (MDOM_LNC020025)
Source: RNAcentral
CAACAAUGCCGUGGACACUCCGAUGGAAUGCCGUUUGACAUGAUCAAAGAUCAAGGACCGAACCAUUAGACAUCUAUGAUGCCUCAGGUCAAAGGACUAAUUUGCAUAUUGUAACUUUAGAGUUCAUACAUGACAUGUAUGUAGUCAUACUCACGUUUGAGUCUAGUCAUACUCACGUUUGAGUCAACACAACACAUACUAACCUUAGCGGAUUGUCAAUGCCCAAUUGGCAAUCCUAUGUUGGAAAUAUGCCCUGAAAGUCAAUCUUUGGAAGAAAUCUUUCAGGACAAAUGAAUCGAUGUAUGGAUGAUUCUUAUACAUCAAAUGGCAAAGAUGCUAAUUAGGACUAUCUCAAUAAACGAUAUAUGUCCUGAAUAGUGUAUCCAUGGACAAUGGAUCGAUUGGAGAAGUAAUCUAAUGAUGUUAGACUACAGAGACCUUCUUCACAUAACCAUUAUGUCCAAAAGGUUCUUGGUCGUUGGAUUGUCGGAGGGAUACUGACAAUGCGUAGACCGGUACAUACUAUGUCCGCUUCAAUUGGAAGGAUGGAAAGUCUCAUCCCAUUCGUGUUGUGACACUAA